This 677-nucleotide long non-coding RNA is filed under the name Marmota monax (woodchuck). The record is from RNAcentral. Lineage: Eukaryota; Metazoa; Chordata; Mammalia; Rodentia; Sciuridae.
GGAAAAUCAUUUCACCUAGGUCACCUUGGGGGCUGUUUUGGAACUUCAUUGAGCAAAUGUCUGCCUUCUGACAUCUUCAGAGGAAUGAAUUGUCCGUAGAACUCUCUAGAACUCCCUGGAAACUCCGCGAGAACCAACGGGAACUCAAAAGUAGUGGGCCCCUGAGGUAGCAGGAGCCGCCUUAUUGCUGGACAGCAGAGGUUUAUAUACACAACUGAAUACACAACUUGCCCCAAUCCAGCAUCAUCCAGUUACAGCAAUCAGUCACCAUCCCAAUAAUUAUACACAGCUUAACUUAAUCACCGUCAUCCCAAUGGCUCGCUGGCGUCACUUCUCAACGGCUCCUUCUGGCAAAAUGCCAGGCGCCAUCCCGACUUGGCUGUGGCUCUCAACAAAUAUGCCCGCCGUGGUCUCCAUCUCACAGAGACACAGAUACUUGGUGGCUCACAAAUUGGGUAAUGGUGUUGAGAGGGAAAUGCAGAAUCAUUCUUGUCCCUGGAUUUUCUUCAAGGAAAACCCACAGCUGUGAGGGUGGACAAGAGUCCACAGUGACCUUCAGUUAGUCAAACUAGGGGUGGGAGAAUGUCCACGGUGAUGAGAUAUCUUGACUUUCCCCUUGGGAUUUGUGUGUCUGUUACUCAGGUCACACUGGUGUUCCAUAGGCUUGUCACCUUGAA